UGUGGUGUCCUCAGUGAAAGUGUGGUGCAGCUGUUCGUCUUUUGAUGUCACAAAGGCAUACUGUACUGCUGAAGGAGAAAACCUCCUUUUUAUCUGGAAAACUAAUUUAAAUUCACGUACUCAGCUAGAGGAUGUGAACAGGACUUUACUGAUGGAUAAAAACCCUUAUGGAAACAUUACCUGCCAUGUAGAAAACCAUGUCAGCUAUGCACGCAACACUAUUGAGCUACUCCCAUGUCCAGCUUUCACAGUGUUUUUGUCUGUGUGGCUUUUUGAAGUCAUCAUUCUUCUAUCACUAAUUGUGGGAGCAUUUUAUAUCUACACUAGACUCUACAAGAAACUGACAGUAACACAGAAUCAGGAACUUUGUAAACCCGAAGUAGGAUCAGAAGAAUCAGUCCAUGGUUGAUCUCCUUCAUACAGCAACUAAACGACCCUUAACCACCAGAUAAUGUAUAACCAUCAAUAACUGAUGGGUUACAGAGAAAUCCAGUUUUAUUUGUCAAUCCACAUCUAGUUUGUAGCACUGCCACAUAAAGGGCACUUUUAUAAGGCGAAAGUACGUCGGCCCAAAUGAUAAAAUAAGCUGCAGCGCCUUAUUAAUUUUUCAGCGCCUUAUUAAUUUUUCAAAAACUAUGAAUGUUUCGAAAAACAAGUUUUC
Long non-coding RNA from Clarias gariepinus (North African catfish), 661 nucleotides. RefSeq lists it as uncharacterized. The record is from RefSeq and is a predicted model, not a curated record. NCBI's taxonomy places the organism in Eukaryota, Metazoa, Chordata, Actinopteri, Siluriformes, Clariidae. The transcript has 3 exons.